Molecule: long non-coding RNA, 2143 nt
Organism: Caretta caretta (loggerhead turtle)
Lineage: Eukaryota; Metazoa; Chordata; Testudines; Cheloniidae
Source: RefSeq, a predicted model, not a curated record
UAGACAGCUAAAUAGCAGGUCCCUCCACCCCCCUCGUACACCUCCUAUUGCUCGGAUAGCUGCCCUCUGUAUCUAAAAAUCUCCCAAGGACACCGGCUUGAUCGAUCUUUGUCAUGCAUUUGGUUUCGCACUUGCGAAGAACAGAGAAGAGAGCCUGGCUUUCUGCGAAACAUUAACUUGCACCCGGCUCCUGUCCCUAAGCGGGUUUGCUCAGCGCUGCUGCGGCAUGUCAGGGAUCUAGCGCGUCUGUCUGUCUGUCUGUCUUUUUGUUGCUUCAAGGGAGAUAAAUUAACAGCGAAAAAAGAAGAGGAGUACUUGGGGCACCUUAGAGACUAACAAAGUGCUGUCCCAAGCCCUGAAGCGUUAGGAAGCACUAAGGCAAUUCCCUUCGGGGUUGAUCAUCCGAGUGUCUGUUUCGCCGCGGUCCACCACGCUGCUCCGCUGUCUCUUAUCGCAUCGACUGAGGGAAAAUGGGGACCUGCCGUCUUGGCUGUAUUGCAAAGAUAGCCGCUAUCUAGCAAAGUUGAUCGGAAAAUCUUGACUUCUCCGGAUUAUAUAUUUCAGGUUUAGCUCCGAGUGCUUUCAGCGUGGGAGUGCCUGUGUCUCCAAGGUCGCCUCAUAAAUCCAGCUCCCUGAAGCCAACCCUGUAAUCCAUGUCGUCAGUUGCCCCUCCCUCCGUCAGAGCAACGGCAGACAAUCGUUCCGCGCCUUUUUUCUGUGCGGACGCCAUACCAAGGCAAGCAUGGAGGCCGCUCAGCUCACUUUGGCAAUUAGGAGCACAUUAAACACCACACGCAUUAUCCAGCAGUAUAUGCAGCACCAGAACCUGGCAGAGCGAUACCGGGCAACGAGGCGACGUCAGCACGGUCACGUGAGUGAUCAGGACAUGGAUACAGACUUCUCUGAAAGAAUGAGCCCUGGCAAUGCAUGCAUCAUGGUGCUAAUGGGGCAGGUUCAUGCUGUGGAACGCUGAUUCUGGGCUCAGGAAACAAGCACAGACUGGUGGGACCGCAUAGUAUUGCGGGUCUGGGACGAUUCCCAGUGGCUGCGAAACUUUCGCAUGUGUAAGGGCACUUUCAUGGAACUUUGUGACUUGCUUUCCCCUGCCCUGAAGCGCAUGAAAACCAAGAUGAGAGCAGCCCUCACAGUUGAGAAGUGAGUGGCAAUAGCCCUGUGGAAGUCUGCAACGCCAGACAGCUACCGGUCAGUUGGGAAUCAAUUUGGAGUGGGCAAAUCUACUGUGGGGGCUGCUGUGAUGCAAGUAGCCCACGCAAUCAAAGAUCUGCUGAUAUCAAGGGUAGUGACCCUGGGAAAUGUGCAGGUCAUAGUGGACGGCUUUGCUGCAAUGGGAUUCCCUAACUGUGGUGGGGCCAUAGAUGGAACCCAUAUCCCUAUCUUGGCACCGGAGCACCAAGCCGGCGAGUACAUAAACCGCAAGGGGUACUUUUUAAUGGUGCUGCAAGCACUGGUGGAUCACAAGGGACGUUUCACCAACAUCAACGUGGGAUGGCCGGGAAAGGUACAUGACGCUCGCAUCUUCAGGAACUCUGGUCUGUUUCAAAAGCUGCAGGAAGGGACUUUAUUCCCAGAAAAUAACUGUUGCGGACGCUGAAAUGCCUAUAUGUAUCCUUGGGGACCCAGCCUACCCCUUAAUGCCAUGGCUCAUGAAGCCGUACACAGGCACCCUGGACAGUAGUCAGGAGCUGUUCAAGUGCAGAAUGGUGGUAGAAUGUGCAUUUGGACAUUUAAAGGCGCGCUGGUGCAGUUUACUGACUCGCUUAGACCUCAGCAAAACCAAUAUUCCCACUGUUAUUACUGCUUGCUGUGUGCUCCACAAUAUCAGUGAGAGUAAGUGGGAGACGUUUAUGGUGGGGUGGGAGGUUGAGGCAAAUCGCCUGGCUGCUGGUUACGCGCAGCCAGACACCAGGGUGGUUAGAAGAGCACAGGAGGGCGCGGUACGCAUCAGAGAAGCUUUGAAAACCAGUUUCAUGACUGGCCAGGCUACGGUGUGAAAGUUCUGUUUGUUUUUCCUUGAUGAAACCGCCCGCCCCUUGGUUCACUCUACUUUCCUGCAAGCUAACCACCCUCCCCUCCUCCCUUUAAUCAUUGCUUGCAGAGGCAAUAAAGUCAUUGUUGCUUCACA